This 8938-nucleotide long non-coding RNA is filed under the name Gallus gallus (chicken). Lineage: Eukaryota; Metazoa; Chordata; Aves; Galliformes; Phasianidae. The record is from RNAcentral.
UUCCCCGAUUCUCUCUCCCAUCUCACUGGGGAGUGGGGGGUCAAGCAAAUGACUGUAUAUUGCUCAGCCACCUAUUCCGUUAAAUCACAACAGUUAUGUUGGGGAAGGAGGGGAAAAAGGUAAGCAUGUACUUGGUUAAUAAGAGUGUUUACUUCAUAUUCUCAGUGAGUUUUUUCCAUUGAGGAAAACACUGGAGGUUUAGCUGUUCAGACCUUGACAGGUUAUAUCUUCUCUCAGUUGCCAUUUAAUUAGUGGAACUCUAACGAUAUUUUGAUUUGAGAAUCCUUACAAAGAAGAGGUGACGGUGGCAGAGCCUGUCAUCCACAGUGUACUGCCUGUAGUUCUUUCUCUUUUCUGCCUAUCAAGAGCAGAUUCAGUGCUUCAUCGUUCCCCUUGCUGCAUGUUGCUGACCUACAGGGUUUGCUUCAUUUCUGAUGUGAGUCAGUCAGUUAUGGGAUGGAUUUCUGACUACACUGAAAAAUGUUAAAAUGUUUUCCAGUGUUCAUUGGUUGGAUGAGAGAAUGAAGGCUGAAAAGGUGUAAGGUAAUGUUCAGUGCAGAAUUUCACUUGGGUAUUUUAAUUUAAAUACCUCUAUUAAGUGUUUAAUAGAGUUGUACCUUCUAUCCCUGCUGUGCUGGCAUGUAACUGUUUUUCUCCCCAUCCUUACAAUAUGUUCACCUCAUUUUACCAAAUAUAUUUCUUCUUAGGAUUAAUAGUGAUACACUUGAGUUGCUGCAUAUCUCUUGUAGGAAUUAAAAACAUAAUCAGAAAUAUUUUUUGCUUUCAUAAAGGAGUGUGUUUGAAUAGUGAUGCUUAAAAAUGAAAGAAUAAUUUGAAGUCUUCAGGGACAGCUCUGGAAGUGCAAGCACUAUACAAAGUUGAUUACUUGUAGGGGUAAUAUGGAGGUAGACACAAAGAAAGAAUAAAUGUUUCCCCUAACUCCUUGAUGCUGCAACCAGUCAUCUCUCACAAGAAAGAAAACUGAAAAGAAAUUGAGCUUCACUUAAGAAGAGAAAGCUGAAAUAAGACACUGCAUAAAAUCCAACUUGAAGGUAAUAGUGAGGUUUUAUGAAAACUGAAGAGGCAGAUGUUGACAGGAGCAUGUAAUUUCUAGAAAGAAGUUGCAGAGAUCUACUAAGAAAGCCUUACAGUGCCACAGAAGCAUUUGUAGCUUUGCUGUAAGCAAGUGAGAACUAUUCAACUUAGUAUUUUCUGGUAGGUUCAUGCUUUCUCAACGUGGAGUCAAAGUUUCCUUCUGCAGUCAGAAAAAAAGAUUGUCAUGUAUGCCUUGUAAGAAGCAAUAGUUGCUAAAUCAAAGAAAUACUUAGUCUGUCCUCUGUUUCCACUCCAAACAGUAACUUUCCAUAGGGCCCCAAUUAAUAACUGUCUGUCUGACUCAAAUGGAUAUAUACAUUCCUUAAUAUUGGAGCCUCAUCUUAGUAGCUGCUAUUUUCAAGGUUUAUUUUAACUGUUGAAUAACCCUACAUGUGUGUUCACACCCAUAAAGUAUAAAAAAGCAGUUCUCUAUUAAACACAUAAUCUUGGUCCCAUUCUUGUAAGUGUUAAUGAGAGAGGAUGUGUUUCUGUUUGCCAUAAUGGUUAAACUGAGAAACAAGCAUAGAAUUCAGAUAUCUUUCCCAGUAUAUGUAGUUGUGUUCUGGACAGCUACAAGCGGCAGGGUGGCAUAGAGGAUUCUAAGUCAUUUGCUCCUCCUCUGGACUGUGUGUUCAUGUGCAAUGGUGGAAUGCAACAAGGUAGAUUAUAGAAUGGAUUAAGGGGUUAGUUGGUGUUGUAGAGUCUUCUACCUUGCGGUUUAACACAGAAUUUCAAAUACAUAUCCUUAAGGAGAAUAUCUUAACACUCUAAGUUUGAUAAGUCUCAUACUGCUAACCCAGUGGUGUCCCUGGUGUACUGAGAAAUAAGAGCUGCAGGCAAAAGUCCUUUUCUGCCACCAGUAGUGAAGCAAAGGCUUCUCCUUUUCUAAAUAGAAGAUUACUGAGGCAACAUGUAAUAUCGCCUCAUCUCUGCAUUUUAAGCAGCCUGUUAGCAUAGUGUAUGUAUGCAUAAUGAGUAGUGCACGUGAUAGCUAGCAGAGAAAAUGAAGAAAAUAGGCAAUUUGUUUACAGAUAUACAAGUGAUGUUGGCGGUCCAGGAUUUCUGCAGGUAGCCUGCAGUUGUAGGCCUUCUAUUCUGCCUAAAAGUAACCAGUGUUUAUUAUUAUUAUUAUUGUUGUUGUUGUUGUUGUUAUUAUUAUUUGUAUAUCUUUCUGUACCAUUUCAUAGGUCUUUAACCAACUUUUGUAUUUCUUUCUAAAAGUAACAUUUGGACUCUUUAAUAUUUUUACACCUUUGUGGACUAGAAUACAGGUGAUUCUUAAAUUCCCUGUGCAAAAGCAAACUUCUGCAGCUAAUGCUACAGUUCAGGUCUAACUGGUUGGAACUGCUUUAUUUGUACUGAUUCAUAAUAUGCGUUAACAUUUCUGUUCUCCACCUUUAUUUUGCAUCCAUUUGUAACUUACAGCAUUCUUCACAAAUAAGACUAUGCUUUCUUUUGUAAACAGGAACAUCAGUUAAAACUUAACAAUAACUGAAUGCCAUUACACUGUGAAUAAAUUUUAGGCAAAUGGUCUUGCAAAUGUUGACUAACCACAUCAGCUUAUUUUGUUUCACUGUAUUGUUGCAUACGCUGACAACAGAGUUAUAUAGGAAUUAGUCUCUUGCCUUGAGACUCCGCCUAAAUGCUACUUUCUGUUUUUUUGUUUGUUUGUUUGUUUUGAUACAGCAUGAGUCCUGGUAAAUUUGUUCAUUUGCUGUCCCUUUGUUUUUCUGUAUGGAGCUCUGCAUCGUGAUGCCAUUAAAUUUUCAGUGCGGCGCUAAUUCUGCAAAGACGCCAAAAAAUCUUGUCCCCUCCUUCGGGUUUUCAUUGUUCUCCAUGGUGUUCCGUGUGUGUAUAACUCCUUCUAUGGAAUCAAACCUGGAGCUUACCCUUGGAAUUAAUUUAGGCAUUAAAAGUAGAUUUCCCUCUUCUAGAAGGACAACUCAGAAGCAGCCUUUGCAGCUGAUGACAAGUAGCUCUGUAUGUUCCCUGCACAAUCUUGCAGUGUGGUAUCUUACAUACUGUGAGACAUAGUAGGGUAAGCAUAUCACUUCCCGAGUGCAAGCUGCUAUAUAAAUUAGCCAGGAUUUCAGUGUUCUAAAAGUUCUCUCUCUCUGUGUUAUAAAAUGUAAGAAAUAUGGUUAACGAUUUCCUUUGUUAUUUGAAGUUCAUUUUGUGUUUACAGAUUAUUGUAUUCUAUAUGCAAAUGACUCAUUAUACUUUAAUCAAACUAACAUAUUCCUUUUCUAAUUUCUCACCUUAUUUAAAUCUUAUGAACUGUCACCUGCCAUUCAAUCUACAUGCCAGUUAUAACAAAAGAGCAAAUUAAGAAGAGGCAAAGCAUUAAAUUUCUGCUAAUCACAAGGCAGAUACAGCAGGUCUCAGUUUAUGCACACAGACAUUGCUGAGUGUGCUGAAAAUAUGGACCUAUUUUUUCUCCCUUCACAAAGCUCAUUAGAAUAAAUCUUUAGAUUUAAAUAUGUAGCUGAAAGAAUUCAUUCCUGUGUCACAGAAAACAAACUGCUGGAAAUUUACUAUUUUUUUCCUCAGCUUGUGAUCUAGAUUUGACUUCAUAGUCAAAUCAGAAUAGAAACAAGGCAGAAAUAUAUUACAGAAUACCUUGAAAGCAUUUCUCUUUGUGGCUUUUUUGUGUGUGUUUAUUUCUUGUUUUGAUAGGGUUUGCUUUCCUGUGGGCUUUUAAUAACUAUUUCUAAAGCCUGAUGUCUAUUGAGGAAAAAAUAAAUUCCUUCAUGCUUUCAUUACAUAGAAUCAUACCGUACUUCUCUGUUCCCUCUAGCAUCUGGUGGGUAACCUGUCAGUUCUAUUACUGGAAGAAGGCUUCUCCCAGCCAUCGUUAGCCAUCCCUCUUGCUUGGCCAUAAAGCCUCUGCUUGAAACCUAUUGUGUUUAGCUUCUUUUCUGUUUAAGAAGGAAGUUUAAGUGUUAGCCUAGCAUUUUGGGCUUAAAGAUCUAUUCUCAGUUUGCCAUAAUCAUUUGAGAUGGUAAACUGUACUUUACUUAUGACAUAGAUGACUACAAACUUCCUAGAAAUAUUGUGAAGCAUAAUAAUUUUUAGUGUUUUCAAAUGUGUUUACUUCUAAUGCAAGUGAUGUACAAUUGCAGUAUAAUAGUAUUACUAUUAUGAUUUGUUCUUUAUUACUUUGUAGGUUUGCGAAUACAUUUCUUAUGCUAUUAGGCAUCACUAUUCUGUUCUGUUGGUGACAAUUGCAUCCCCAGACGUUUCCCAGGAAGUGCAAUGCGCACACUGAAUUAGCAUUUAAGCAUCAUAUGCACACAAAUGACUAUAUGUUGUGUAUCUACAGUACAUGCUUUGCUCUUUACUUUUUACAUUUCUGACCACAUGGAAAUCUUAGGUGCUGACUGAUUCUAGAUUUAUGAGUGCUUUGUGGGAUAUAUAUAUAUAUUUUUUCCUGGAACAAUUAAAUUUCUGCUUCUACAGAAACUACACGAGACAGGUCACAGUGACCUUGUGUUAAAAGCAGGUUAUGUUUUCUUUGUUAAAUAUGCAUUGAAAAAAUAUAUAUAUAAUAGAAGAGAAUCUAUCCAAUGUGAGAGUAAUGUCUACCUAGAUUAAUAGCUUUGUUAUUAAUGGAUUUAGACUAUAUUAUAUAAUUUAAUUGAUGUUUAUAAAUAGCUUCUUUCCCUGUGGUUAUGAAAUAUAACAUUUACCAAACUUCUUCUUUGAUGGAAUUUACAUAUGGCACAUCAGGAUGAUUAAAAGCCAGCCGUCUUUUCACAGCAUGGCAAGAAAUAGGAUUUGAUUUAUCUUCGUUGCUUGCCUACCACUUGCUGUGACUGUACUUUUGAAAUUUUAAUAUUCUCAUUUCUCAAAAGGAGCUUGUUAUGUAAAAUAUUAUGUAAAUAUCUUUUAUGCUUUGUUUUUUGGCUUUCAAUGUAAAAAGUAGUACUUUUCAUUUGAUAAGCAAAUAAAGCAGCAAGGUGGAAAUGAAAAGUCUACUUAGCCAAGCAGAUUUUUGUCAAAAGAAGCAAAUUUAUAUCUCAAAUUCUGAAAGAAUUUAAGUAUGGUGCAGUGUGAAAGGGACUUGAGUCCCUUUCAUAUGAGCUGUUUAGCAAUUGAUGAAUGAAUGGCUGGAAAAGUGUCACUUCUAGAUUUACAAGUACAGCAUGGUUUUCCAAGUCAAGCUGAACAUAACUGAACACAACUGAACAUAAGCCUGUUGUAUGUUGACAGACACUUUUCUUCUGCCCUCCUUCCUCAUUCUUUCUUCUCACAGCUGCCUCUCUAGUAGCAAAUAGGGUGCAAGGUCCAGGCCUCAGGCUGUGCUGUGAACACCUUUACGGAAUGCAGGUACAACAGCAUCCAUCUGCCACAACAAAAUGCAUUUUGAAAGAGUAGGGACUGUGUAUUUCUGUUGCAUCUGCUCAGCCAUUAGCACUUUCCCUUUUAAUGCUGGCCUUCUUGACACAAGAGAUUUGAUCAAGGUGUUCUUCAAAUUCCAUGCUAAGCUGGGAAAGUCUAGUAUAAACCUGCUGUCUGUCACUUUCUAAUUCAUUUUAAACAAUUAAGCACCUGCUGAUUUGUUGAAGUUACACUAGGAAAUUUACUGUGAUUUUUCUCAUAUUUUCAUCUUAGUCCUCUUUUUUUUUCUGAUGCUCAGUUCAACAUGGCACUUAGUUUGACUGUUCUUCAUCCCCCUCUCUGUGAGGUGGCCUAUGCCUAAUAAACACCUGUUCCUUAGUGAAAUGAACAUGAAGGCAAAUUAAAUAUGAGGAUGAAGAAAACUGAAUAUGAAUCUAAAUACCAAAUUCAAAUAGACUAUUGUCUAAAACUACAUGCAACAAAGUAAAUUAUCCAAUGCCUCUACGGAAGGUUUGAAACAGGAGGUACACAGUGGAUGGUUCACUUGAAAUACAGCCAACACCACAGAUUGCAGAUGGUAGUGAAGGGUGUGUGUAUGUUUGGAAGCAUGAUUUCCCUUGCCAAUUUCUCUACUUUCUACAAAACUUGAAAAGCAUUUAAUGUACAGAGGAGUUAGUAUACCUUGGCCAAAGAAAGUGUAUGUAUAUAGCUUGCUCCAAAAGUAAUGCCUCCUAUUUUUUUGCAUCAAAAACAGAUACAAAGAGCACAGUAACACUAUUUGAUAGAGUAAAUUCUCAGCUACAAAACACUAUUUUUUUUUUUUUUUUUAACACCGUCACCAACAUUGAAGCUUGAUUGAGAGGAUCUUCAUUUUGUGGUGUCACGGCUGUACAUGGCUGUCUGGAAUAUGUCUUCUCUUUCACACUGUUGUCACUGCUGCUGAAAGGCACCACUCACUGACUCACUGUGCUCACACCCGCUGUUUCAUCUCCAGAAACAUUCAGCAAGUGUCAAUGAAUGUCAGUGGUUGCCAUUUUUUCACAUGGUGGAAUUCAGCAGCACACCUUUGCUUUGUACACGCUUUGAGGUCAGACCCCAUUCUGUCAGACUGCCAUCUAUUGUACGGCAAAAAAAAAUGUAAGAGAAUAUCAGUAGGAAGGCCAUAACACCAAUAUCUGCUUCUGAUGUAGUGGGCCCAUGUAAUAAAAUAGGAGGCAUUAUUUAAGAGCAGCUCUCAUCAUUUUGAAAGUUCAAAUGGAUGAUUAAAAAGAAAUUAUGACCUCCAUACUAAACAAUCCCACUUUUUCACAUGAGUAGAAAAUAAUAGGAAGGAAUUUUUAGCAGAGUAUUUCAUACACCUGUCAAUUUUCUUUGCCAAUUUUUGGAAAUGAGUAUGUGAAAAUGAGAUAAUACAAAUUCUAAAUAUAGCAGAUAAAAUAAUUCCAGAAGUGGAGCCCUGCUGGGGUUGCAAAGCUGGUUGAGAUUUUUUUUUUUUUUUUUUCUUGGAAUGCAUUUAGAAUCUUCCCUAUGAGAGGCUGCAUGUCCUUAAAUCCUGUUGGAUCAGAAUAGUAAAAAGGAUUAAAUUUUCUCCAAGGCAGAAUAAAUGACUUCCUGUCUCAAUGAGAAUAAAUGUAUAAAACUAGUGUAAAAUAUAUUUUUCUUGCUCUGUGCAUUGUUAUAAAUUAUAUUUGUUGUGAUGAACAAUAUAUACGAAUACAUUGUAACCACAUUACCAAGACUAAAACUUGUUUUGCUUGCUAUAGGGGAAAAAAAAAGAAAAAAGAAAAAAAAAAAAAAAGGAUUAGGUAAGACUACUUGGGAUUUAGUUUAUAGACUGUAAACUGUGGCAAAUCUCCAUUUAAAUAUUUCUGGAAGGAAGCGUGACACUCUUAAGUUUCAAAUUCAGAAGUUUCUUACUUGCUAGCUGGUCUACAAUAGCAGACUUGUGCUACUUCCAAAACACUGUUAAGUAACAGGCUGCUUCUGCAAAAAAAAAACUUGAGUAUAAAAGGUCUCCUAUUUUUAACAUGGCAAUUUCAGACAGCUUGACACUUUUUUUUCUUUCACAUAGUUUCAAUUAUAAGUUGGUAACUAACCAAGAAAAUGUAAAAUAUGCUACUGAAAUAAUUAAUUUAUUAUUUGUGUAAUGAGAAAUUCUAUCAGACAGGUGUCAUUUGAAUGUAUUUCUGAAUCCAUUUAAGGCUGAUCUUCCACAGUGCUAAGAGAAUAUUUUAACAAAGAAAAUAUAUAUUUUUUCUUUGUCUCCAGUGUAGUUUCAUAAGAAGAUUUUUAGGAUGCUGAGCUGCAGAACAUAAAAUUUCUGUGCUGGUACUAAUAUUUGCUAAUAUUAAUAUUUAUGCUGUGAUAAAUACCUUCUUAUUCCAAUCUUACUUUCUUUUUUUUUUUUUUUUUUUUUUUUGUAAAACACAAAAAACAGCUUAUCUUUGUCCUGCAGAACAGUGUGUAAUUUUUAUUUACCAUUACUGAGGCAUGCUGUAAUUAUGCUUGUGAAGAUUAAGACAAUGGUGAAAAAUUAGGGGUCUUUUCAUUACAUGUGCCAGGUAUGGCACAAACUGUGCAGCCAUGCUUGUGUUGUUCCAAUGCUGAUCUCAGACAUGCCUUUUUGUAACAGAAUUUCAGUGCCUGCUUGCCCAGUCUUCUACUGAGCAGAACCUGGUGAUGCAGUUAGUCAGGUAAUUUGUGCUUUAGCACAUAGAAAACAAUAAAGCUUGUAUGUGGUCUCAUGAUGGCAAGAAUAGUAAUAAACAGAUGGCUUCAGUUUAUCCCUACAGUGAGUACCCAAUGAGCAGAAAUGAGUUACACUGUGCAUUGUACUCAUAAAUCUGAUUCACUGCACUUUUUCAAGAUGUGAUUAGAUUCGGAAUAAUGGUACAAAAAUCUGUACAAGCAAAGCUUACAACAAAUAUGCAAAUUUUGUUUAAUUUUAAAUUUGUUCAACUACUCUUAGAUAGGUGCAGUGUUUCUCAGAACAUCUGUGUCAUGCUAAUAUUGAUCAUAGAUGGCAUGGAUCUGUGGUUGUUGACAGCUAUUCUGACACCUGAAUGUAUUUGUUGUAUGUAACAGAUUUUUUUUUUUCCCCCAUGGAAUUUCAUUGGGACUGAAGUAUUCAUUGUUCUCACCUUACACAUCCUUGAUUUGUUGUGAAGCAUCUAGAAAAUACGAAGCUGUUUUAGCCUAUGGCUUUGCUUUAGGGCAGAUGCAAGCCAAAGAAGCUAAUGCUGUAAGAAAAUACAUAGCAGAGGGCUUUAUAGAGAUUAAAUGAUCAUUUAGUGUGUGGGUGGGCAGUAGAACUCCUGCAGUUCUCAUCUGUGUAAUAAUAGAAUUGUUGAAAAGGUAGAGGAAUAAGAAACUUAGCUUGCUUUUGGAAACACUGAGAUAUUGUUAGGGUUGCUAACACCUGUUGCAUCUAAGUCAAGGUUAUCUCCACCGAUUUGUUGCUUACGAGUUUUGCAUUGCAGUUUUAGCCCUUUAUGCAUUCCAG